AGGUGCGAUCAUACCAGCACUAAUGCACCGGAUCCCAUCAGAACUCCGCAGUGAAGCAUGCUUGGGCGAGAGUAUUACUAGGAUGGGUGACCUCCUUGGUAGUCCUCGUGUUGCACCUC
Molecule: ribosomal RNA, 119 nt
Filed under: Lupinus angustifolius (narrow-leaved blue lupine)
Lineage: Eukaryota; Viridiplantae; Streptophyta; Magnoliopsida; Fabales; Fabaceae
Source: RNAcentral